AAUGAACGCUGGCGGCAUGCCUAACACAUGCAAGUCGAACGAGACCUUCGGGUCUAGUGGCGCACGGGUGCGUAACGCGUGGGAAUCUGCCCUUGGGUUCGGAAUAACUCGCCGAAAGGCGUGCUAAUACCGGAUGAUGACGUAAGUCCAAAGAUUUAUCGCCCAAGGAUGAGCCCGCGUAGGAUUAGCUAGUUGGUGGGGUAAAGGCCCACCAAGGCGACGAUCCUUAGCUGGUCUGAGAGGAUGAUCAGCCACACUGGGACUGAGACACGGCCCAGACUCCUACGGGAGGCAGCAGUGGGGAAUAUUGGACAAUGGGCGAAAGCCUGAUCCAGCAAUGCCGCGUGAGUGAUGAAGGCCUUAGGGUUGUAAAGCUCUUUUACCCGGGAUGAUAAUGACAGUACCGGGAGAAUAAGCCCCGGCUAACUCCGUGCCAGCAGCCGCAGUAA
Molecule: ribosomal RNA, 449 nt
Filed under: uncultured bacterium
Lineage: Bacteria
Description: partial 16S ribosomal RNA
Rfam family: Bacterial small subunit ribosomal RNA
Source: RNAcentral